AUAGCUCUUGAAAAAAUUAUUGUCCUUAGCGAUGAAUGUCAUUUAAUUUACAAAAUUUAGUCUACAUAUUCAAUUUCUCUAGAAUUAUCCCUCAACUAAAUCUUACCAUGUGGCUGUAUAUCAUGCAUGCACUUACUGCUAAUCUGUCAUUAUAUAAUCUAUCUGUAUUGAUAAGCACCAAACACAUUAAUUAUUUCCUUUUGAAGAAAAGACAUUUUGUAUUUUUUCUAUAAUUGUUCCGGUAAAAGAGAAAAAGCCUCAAAGACAUUUAUGAAACAAAGAGUCUCGAGUCAAAUAAAAUAGUUUGAUGAGAACAAGUUUGCCGUAUCAAAAAAGUAAACACCAAACAAAAACAUAACCAACACAGAAACUUAUAAUUGCUUUAAAACAUCCCAUAAUCAACUUUUUUUUUCUCUCUUUUAAAUAGAUAACAUAACUAAGUCACUCAAUCUCUUUAGAAGGCAGUACACUAUUUGACCCAUUUCAAAUAAAAAACAAAUUCAGUUUGAAAAUUAGAUUAUCUCAAGUUCUAUUCUUCUAAACUGUAUAAGACAGUUAAUGGUUUACUUUCUUAAAAUUUUAUGUGUAAUUUUUAUUUUUGUUAAAUGAUGAAGGAAUAAAACGGAUAGAAAAUAGAGAGAAAGAAAUGCAUUUGCUUGGAUCAAACUCCUGACAAGGAGACAAACUAAUUUCUAGUUCAUUUCACCAACACAAUAACAAUUCAACUUUGAAAACAAUGUUAUUUAUCAGUAACCUAACACAUAAGGUAAAUGAAUUUCGGGACCCAUCACACUUGGGAGCCCUAGGUGGUCGCCUCUUUCGGCUACCCUCAGGGCCGACCCUAGGUAGGCUUGAAUGCAUAGGUAGAAACCAAAUAUCUUAUCCACUAUGAUAUUGGACCAUAUGGAGCAGUUAGCAAAACUCCUUAAACAAAUGUUUGGCUCUUCAAUACAUGAGAAAGGAAAUGACCUAUCAUGAAUGCUUAACAAGUUUAACUCUCUCAUUCAAAGAAAAAACAUUUAUAACUUUUUUAUGUUGGUAAUGGACCACAUGCAUUACUAUAUUAAAUAUAUGGGGGCAUGUGGAUGUAUGGGUAGAAACCUAACAUCUUAUCCACUAGGAUAUUGGAACACAUGCAACAGCUAGCAAAACUCCUUCAACAAAGGCUUCACUCUUCAGUACACAUGAAGAAAAUGACCUUUCAUGAAUGUUUAAUAUUUUAACUCUCUCAUUCAAAGAAAAAACAAUUGUAACUUUCUGAUUUCAGCCAUGGACCACAUGCAUUAUUAUAAUAAAUAUAUGGCAGCUGUGAAUGCAUGAGCAGAAACCCAACAUCGUAUUCACUAGGACAUUAUACCACAUGCAACAGCUAGCAAAACUCUUAAACAAAGGCCUCGUUCUUCAGUACACAUGAAAGAAAAGAACCUUUCAUGAAUGCAUAACAUGUUUAACUCUCUCCUUUAAAGAAAAAACAUUUGUAACUUUCUGAAUAGCACCCCAUUAACACAUUAACUUAUAUGUUCGGCCAUACUAACAUUUUAUAUACAAUACAUAUGAUAGUAUACAAGUCAUGCAUAGGUAGAAACUCAACAAUUCCUAGUCCAAUUGUUGUGGGAUUAUUAAACCAUACAAUGCAACAACUAGCAAAACUCCUUAAACAAAGACUUGGUUCUUUAGUACACGUGAGAAAAAUCAUGAACCAUUGAAUGGAACCCUUCAUGAAUGAUGCACAACAUCUAUUUAAUCAAAGAAAAAUAGUUGUAUUCGCAUUACCUCUAGAUUUGGCUUUGCCAUUAUAGAAGUAAAAUUAUGGUAAUGUGGCUUCCAAUGAUUCUAUUUACUUGACACACAUUAGGUAUAGUAGCAGUGUAAGAAAAUCUACGUAGACACAAAAAUUGGGCUAUGUUUAUUGUAACCAGGAAAGGCUAAAUCACCAGUGUUUCAUGAAUGCUAUUAACAAUUUUACACUUCUCUCAUUCAAAGAGAAAACAAAUAUUCUAAACUUUUUUGUCGACAUGAUCACAUGCAUUACCAUGUUAGAUAUAUGGUAGCAUGUGGAUGCAUAGGUAGAAACCCAACAUCUCAUUCACUAGGAUAUUGGACCGCAUGCCAGCAUCUAGCAAAACUCCUUCAACAAAGGAUUCACUAUUUAGAACACAUGAAAGAAAAUGACAUUUCAUGAAUGCUUAACCUGUUUAACUCUCUCCUUCAAAGAAAGAUACGUAUGUAACCUUUUUAUGGUCGUUGUCAACCUAUUAUGAGACCACAAUGCUUUAUUAUAAAGAAUAAGAAGCAGCUGUGAAAUGCCAUGAACAGAAACUCAACAUCCUAUCCACUAAGAUAUUGACCACAUGCAACAAUUAGCAAAACUCCUUAAACAAAUACUUUGUUCUUCAGUACACAUGAAAGAAAAGAACAUUUCAUGAAUGCAUAACAUGUUUAACUCUCUCCUUUAAAGAAAAAACAUUUGUAACUUUUUUAUGCUGACCAUUUACCACAUACAUUCUUACAUUAAAUAUAUGAUAGAUAUGGAUAUACAGGUAGAAACCCAACAUCAUAUCCACUGUGACAUUGGACCACAUGCAACAACUAGCAAAACUCCUUAAACAAAGACUUGGUUUUUCAGUAUAUGUGAAAGAAAAUGACCUUUCAUGAAUGCUUAACAUGUUUAACUCUAUCCUUCAAAGAAAAAACACUUGCAACUUUCUGAUGUUGGCCAUGGACCAUUAUAUAUAGUAGUUGUGAUCCACUUGGAUAUUGAACCACAUGCAGAAGUUAGCAUAACUCCUUAAACAAAUGAUUGGCUCUUCAGUACACGUGAAAGAAAAUGACCUUUCAUGAAUGCUUAACAUGUUUAACUCUCUCCUUUAAAGAAAAAACAUUUGCAACUUAUCCGAUGUCGGC
RNAcentral lists this long non-coding RNA (2904 nucleotides) under Malus domestica (apple). Its description in RNAcentral is "long non-coding RNA (MDOM_LNC005403)". The record is from RNAcentral. Lineage: Eukaryota; Viridiplantae; Streptophyta; Magnoliopsida; Rosales; Rosaceae.